Molecule: ribosomal RNA, 878 nt
Filed under: uncultured bacterium
Lineage: Bacteria
Description: bacterial SSU rRNA
Rfam family: Bacterial small subunit ribosomal RNA
Source: RNAcentral
AGAGUUUGAUCAUGGCUCAGGAUGAAGCUGGCGGCGUGCCUAACACAUGCAAGUCGAGCGAUUCUCUUCGGAGAAGAGCGGCGGACGGAUGAGUAACGCGUGGGUAACCUGCCCUGUACACACGGAUAACAUACCGAAAGGUAUGCUAAUACGGGAUAAUGUAUUUUUGUCGCAUGGCAAAAGUAUCAAAGCUCCGGCGGUACAGGAUGGACCCGCGUCUGAUUAGCUAGUUGGAGAGGUAAUGGCUCACCAAGGCAACGAUCAGUAGCCGACCUGAGAGGGUGAUCGGCCACAUUGGAACUGAGACACGGUCCAAACUCCUACGGGAGGCAGCAGUGGGGAAUAUUGCACAAUGGGCGAAAGCCUGAUGCAGCAACGCCGCGUGAGCGAUGAAGGCCUUCGGGUCGUAAAGCUCUGUCCUCAAGGAAGAUAAUGACGGUACUUGAGGAGGAAGCCCCGGCUAACUACGUGCCAGCAGCCGCGGUAAUACGUAGGGGGCUAGCGUUAUCCGGAAUUACUGGGCGUAAAGGGUGCGUAGGUGGUUUCUUAAGUCAGAGGUGAAAGGCUACGGCUCAACCGUAGUAAGCCUUUGAAACUGAGAAACUUGAGUGCAGGAGAGGAGAGUAGAAUUCCUAGUGUAGCGGUGAAAUGCGUAGAUAUUAGGAGGAAUACCAGUUGCGAAGGCGGCUCUCUGGACUGUAACUGACACUGAGGCACGAAAGCGUGGGGAGCAAACAGGAUUAGAUACCCUGGUAGUCCACGCCGUAAACGAUGAGUACUAGGUGUCGGGGGUUACCCCCCUCGGUGCCGCAGCUAACGCAUUAAGUACUCCGCCUGGGAAGUACGCUCGCAAGAGUGAAACUCAAAUGAAUUGACGG